AUGGAACCAAAUUCAUCACACGGGGAGCCAAAUGAGCCGUGUCUGCGAGGCAAGCAUGACUUGAAAUGUGAUUAUCAGGUAGUACCAGACAGCUUCAUUAUUCGGCUAACUACAAGGUCCUCACAGCAUAUUUAAGGGAGAAACUAGGGUUCACAUUUAGCUGUUUCUUCUCAGAGGACAUACAUACAUAUAUAUACUUUUGUCGAUAAUUUAUUCAUGGCAGUGAAUCUCUCACUAGUUUAGCUACAAAAGGCAGGGGUUUCAUCUGUGCGACUUAUGAGAUCCGAUGCGUGAAUGGUUUUACUUUACCCUGCUAUACUGCCGUUCAACGAGGAUGGCAAAACACACGCAUUCCAAAACCUCUUAUGAUGUGGCGCCACUAAAGCAGCCAUGAAAUGCGCCAUAUGUUUGCCUGCGCUUUUGAUUUCUAACUGUAGGUAGUCGCGAGUUCCUUCAUCCCUGGACAACAGAGAAAGAAGAGGGGCAUGGUAGCAUCAAUGGCAGUCGGACGAAACGGAGCAAAGAUGGGUGUAAUGGCGAUCCUUACCGGCUUUCGACUCUUUCCUUACGUCGCCGCGCGGCCGCAUUCCGUCGAACAGGUCGCGGGCAUCCGGCGAGGCAGCCCCGUUUCCACUCUUCCUCAUCUACCUCCCCGCGACGGCGACGCGCUUAGCCGAGGCAAGCCUCCCCACACGGCGGAGGCGCGCGUGGCGCCCCGAGCCGCGCCCACCUCCACGGCGGGGGAGGUCGCCCAGCUCCCAAAACCGGAC
This 770-nucleotide long non-coding RNA is filed under the name Triticum aestivum (bread wheat). Its description in RNAcentral is "long non-coding RNA (TAES_LNC028465)". Lineage: Eukaryota; Viridiplantae; Streptophyta; Magnoliopsida; Poales; Poaceae. The record is from RNAcentral.